This 466-nucleotide ribosomal RNA is filed under the name uncultured bacterium. RNAcentral describes it as "partial 16S ribosomal RNA". It matches the Rfam family "Bacterial small subunit ribosomal RNA", at positions 28 to 507 of the family's 1533-position model. The record is from RNAcentral.
GAUGAACGCUGGCGGCGUGCUUAACACAUGCAAGUCGAACGGAAAGGCCCUGCUUGCAGGGUACUCGAGUGGCGAACUGGUGAGUAACACGUGGGUGAUCUGCCCUGUACUUUGUGAUAAGCCUGGGAAACUGGGUCUAAUACCGAAUAUGACAAUUGUUUGGAUGCGAUUGUGGAAAGCUUUUGCGGUAUGGGAUGAGCUCGCGGCCUAUCAGCUUGUUGGUGGGGUAAUGGCCUACCAAGGCGUCGACGGGUAGCCGGCAUGCGAGGGUGUACGGCCACAUUGGGACUGAGAUACGGCCCAGACUCCUACGGGAGGCAGCAGUGGGGAAUAUUGGACAAUGGGAGCAAGCCUGAUGCAGCGACGCCGCGUGGGGGAUGACGGCCUUCGGGUUGUAAACUACUUUCGCAACCGACGAAGCCUUUUGGUGACGGUAGGUUGAGAAGAAGCACCGGCUAACUACGUG